RNAcentral lists this ribosomal RNA (468 nucleotides) under uncultured bacterium. RNAcentral describes it as "partial 16S ribosomal RNA". It matches the Rfam family "Bacterial small subunit ribosomal RNA", at positions 28 to 507 of the family's 1533-position model. The record is from RNAcentral.
GACGAACGCUGGCGGCGUGGUUAACACAUGCCAGUCGAACGGAAAGGCCCUGCUUUUGUGGGGUGCUCGAGUGGCGAACGGGUGAGUAACACGUGAGUAACCUGCCCUUGACUUUGGGAUAACUUCAGGAAACUGGGGCUAAUACCGGAUAGGAGCUCCUGCUGCAUGGUGGGGGUUGGAAAGUUUCGGCGGUUGGGGAUGGACUCGCGGCUUAUCAGCUUGUUGGUGGGGUAGUGGCUUACCAAGGCUUUGACGGGUAGCCGGCCUGAGAGGGUGACCGGCCACAUUGGGACUGAGAUACGGCCCAGACUCCUACGGGAGGCAGCAGUGGGGAAUAUUGCACAAUGGGCGGAAGCCUGAUGCAGCAACGCCGCGUGCGGGAUGACGGCCUUCGGGUUGUAAACCGCUUUCGCCUGUGACGAAGCGUGAGUGACGGUAAUGGGUAAAGAAGCACCGGCUAACUACGUG